This 322-nucleotide ribosomal RNA is filed under the name uncultured eukaryote. RNAcentral's name for it is "partial 18S ribosomal RNA". It matches the Rfam family "Eukaryotic small subunit ribosomal RNA", at positions 1470 to 1796 of the family's 1831-position model. The record is from RNAcentral.
CCCUUAGAUGUUCUGGGCCGCACGCGUGCUACACUGAGUAAUUCAAUGGGUAAGGGAACGCUAGAGCAUUACCUAAUCUUGAAAUUUGCUCGUGAUGGGGAUCGACGGUUGCAAUUUUCCGUCGUGAACGAGGAAUACCUUUUAGGCGCAUGUCAUCAUCAUGCGCCGAAUACGUCCCUGCCCUUUGUACACACCGCCCGUCGCUCCUACCGAUUGAGUGAUCCGGUGAGGCUCUGGGACCUGGACGGAAAGAGCGUUUCGCUUGUUCUGUUUGGGAAACUUGGUCGAACCUUAUCAUUUAGAGGAAGGAGAAGUCGUAACA